RNAcentral lists this unclassified non-coding RNA (996 nucleotides) under Primulina xiuningensis. Its description in RNAcentral is "partial 166FR". Lineage: Eukaryota; Viridiplantae; Streptophyta; Magnoliopsida; Lamiales; Gesneriaceae. The record is from RNAcentral.
UUUCUUCCUUGUUACACUAUAUCUUUUUAUGCUUGUAGUUUACCAUCUUGGUCAUUUCAUAUAUGCCGUUAUUUGUAAGCAUUUAUCUUGCUGUGGAUUGAGGGUUCGGGCUAGAAUUUUAUUUGGCGGCUUCUGACCUGUAACUUCUCCUAUUAUUUUUUUUUACUUUAAAAUGCUUUCAAACAAUUUGGCCUGUGAGCUAUAAAUUAAUCGCUUUUUUUCGUUCUGGGUCUGAUUACUAAGCCGGGAGGGAAAAUGAAGAAAGAAUCUCAGCAACGAUUAAACUCAUUUUUACUACUGCUUCUGUUGGUACAGCCAGAGAGGAACUCAAACAUUGUCUCCCGAUCUAUUAUUUCAAGAUGGAAUUGAACUGCUAGGACAAUUUGAAUGAUUACGUUCAUCAUUCAAAUGGUAAAAUUCCAUUGCAAAAUGCAGAGUCUCAUUCUAGAAUGCUCUACUUAAUAUUUUCCAUUAAAUGUUGUAUUUGAAAUUUUAAAUUUGAUUAAAAAUAAGGAGUAACCACCACCCUCUUGUUAGAGUUUAAAUGUGAGGUGUGAGAAAGUGGUAAAAAAUUGUGGAAUAAAACUGUUGUGUGGAUAAAUGGUGCAUAAGAUCUUGUGAGGUGCUUGCUUUAGCUGUAUUAUGCUGCAAAUUUAUUGUAUUUGAUAACUUGUAUCAUUGAAUCAGCAUGUUCAAGCUACUGCUCAUUACGAGCGAAUGUUCACUUCUCUCAUUUAAUGUGGAAUUAGGGUUUAAAAUAGAAUGAAAUAUCUUUAGUUUUUCUAAGUGUUAAUUUGGGCUUGGGUGCAGGUGAGUUUGAGCGAGUAGCAGGACACACAUCAAAAGUAAAAGUGCACACAUAUGGCACACAGUUUGUUAUUACUGGAUCCAACUAUUUGUUUUUGUGCAUCUGGUGCUGAAAUUUGUAUAUUUUGUUAUGUAUAAAGGUACAGGUGAUUUGGGCGAGCGACCCAGUUUCACAACGGAGGGAAGGAG